This 56-nucleotide microRNA precursor is filed under the name Heligmosomoides polygyrus. Its description in RNAcentral is "microRNA hpo-mir-61a precursor". Its record names the gene hpo-mir-61a. The record is from miRBase by way of RNAcentral. Lineage: Eukaryota; Metazoa; Nematoda; Chromadorea; Rhabditida; Heligmosomidae.
ACCGGGUGACCGCCUAGUCGUGGCCGACAGCUCAUGACUAGACUGUUACUCGGCGU